CCUUACAGUAGCGCAGCGCCAGGAGGGUGUCCGCGGUCUCGCCUGCCGCCCAGGGGCCCUCUCAGUGCCGCGCUCCGCCAGCCUCGGCCCCACCCCAAACCCCUUCCUCCUUCACCGCCGGCUCUUACAGGGAAAUCGGCGCCCGAGACACAGCCAGCGGGUGUUCAGAAAGGAAAACGCUCGCUCAACAGCCUUUUCGGUUGAUUCUUACAUUCAAGGUGUGUUACUAUUUGUGGCAAGCAUCUUUUCAUUUAAAUCUCGUGACAACCCCGUGAGGACCAUCGUCCCCAUUUUCCUCUUGAGGAUGAGGGCUCAGAGACAGGAGGAAACCGGUGCUCUGAUCAAAGCCAUACAGCUGGUGACAGGUGGGCUUGGCUCCCAGCGCCCUCUCUGCAACUGAAUAAGCUGCCUUAUUCAGAACGUGCUGAGAUGGAACAGAUUUAACAUCUGACAAGCAGGAAUGUCCCCAAGUGGUGUUUCUCAGCUAGAUCCUGUUUGAAAGGACACUUCUUGCAAGCCUCUCAGUGUGGACUCAAAUUGUUUUUAGAAUAAAGCUAAACAGCUUCAUGCAUAAACCAGCACAAGCUCCCUAUGUUUGUGAGUCCUAAAGCACUCAAAUUAAAUUCAGCAUAAGCCAGACUAUAAAAUCAAAACUGUUGAAAUCCUCAUGAGUCGGGAGGCUGUUCUGUUUGCAGGGCCACUGCUCUUGGCUGUGUCUGUCCCAGCUUUGCAGGGCAGGCAGGUGCCGCCCGGUGCUAGGUGGCCCAAUUCUCCUCUGCUUUUCUUUCUUCAGAGCCCUGGGUUAUGGCACUGGAGUGUCACGGGGUACUGCGGUGAGGGUGCGGGAAAGGGGGUUCUAACUUCUGUCACCCGCGCCCUAGGGUUCGAUAGUGUUUUUUCAAUCUCAUUAAAGGGCUGACUUCUAUACACACAGAGAUUCGGAAGCUGCCACUGCAUUAUUUUCAUAUUAGCUCCACCUCUGUUCUUUUGUUAAUGUCUCCCACCAAUUUAUAAAAUAGUCUGAGGCUCUGGUGGGAUCAGAAACCCAAAGGUGAACACGGCAGCAGCUCCUGCGUCAUAAGGUGGUGGGCCGGAUGGUCGGUGUAUCUGUACUGGUUUUUCUUCACUUGUCAACAAAAUGGAAAUGGUAUUUAAAAUGGAAAAUGGCAGGAGUACUAAAAGUCCUAAUAGAUGAUAGGGCAUUACAAUCAGUAUUUUAGUUGUGGUAGUAACACCGUGGUCAUACGUUUUUCUUUUUCUUUUUUUUUUUUUUGAGACGGAGUCUCGCUCUGUCGCCCAGGCUGGAGUGCAGUGGCGCGAUCUCAGCUCACUGCAAGCUCCGCCUCCCGGGUUCACGCCAUUCUCCUGCCUCAGCCUCCUGAGUAGCCGGGACUACAGGCGCCCGCCACCACGCCCGGCUAAUUGUUUUAUAUUUUUAGUAGAGACGGGGUUUCACUGUGUGAGCCAGGAUGGCCUCAAUCUCCUGACCUCGUGAUCCGCCCACCUCAGCCUCCCAAAGUGCUGGGAUUACAGGCGUGAGCCACCGCGCCCGGCCGGUUAUAUGUUUUUCUUUUGUCAUUUUAAUCAUGCAGCCUGAAGUAUUUAUAUGGAUGAAUAUCAUGAUGCCCGGGAUUGGCUUCAAAGUAACCCCAUGGAGACGAGGGGUUAAUAUGAGUGUGUCCGACCGGCACAAGAUGGGCUGGAUAAGGCUAGGAUAUUCAUUAUAUGAAAAUUCUACUUUUAUAAAGGCUUGGAAUUAUCCGUAAUUAAAACAUUUCAAAAAUCUUCCACGAGCUCAAGGAGACUCCAAGCCUAUGGCCCUGGAUCACCUCCCUGAGACAGCUGGAGCAAAUGUCAAGCCCAGUGUUGGGAUGGCACCAGAUGGGGUGCAUGUAGCUUGGGAGACCUUCCUUGGCCCUAAAAGGGAGCACUGUCUCCCCCACACCUCCCCCUGCUGGGCAGCAUGGGCACUGCAUGCCACAGGCAGCUCGGCUUGGACACUUGGGCACAGAGCCCAUACUGGGUCCUCCACGUGACUCUCAACCUAACAAAAUGUUAAAGGAGAUGCUUUUUCUAUUAACAUAAAUCAGCAAACAUUUAUGAGCACUUCGGUAAGUGGUCCUUGAAGUCUUGGAUAGGCAAGAAGAGGGAGAAGCCACGGGGCAGGGGAAAGACUAACGUGCGUGGAUUUCCAGCCCAAUCCCAGCUGUCACCCCCUGACUGCAUGGCCUUAGACAUCUCUUGCCCUCCCCGUACAAUGGCGACAGUAAUCCAUGGCUCUACGGGUUAAAUGACCGCUGCAAGAGAGGGUUCGCAGCACAGGGUAGCCAUGCAGAGGACUUAACUGAAUGAAGGAGAAGAGGAGAGAGCCCAGAGCUGACCUGAUGCAAGGCUGGCCACAAUGCCUGUGUCCCUUACCUGACUGGCUGAUGAAAAAGCAAACGUCAUCCCUGAACACAGGUGUGUUCCUGUCCAGAAAAUCACUAGCAAGUUCAACCAUCACAGGAAGCUCAGUCAGUUCCUCCAAAACUUGCCGCGUCUGAAGCCAACAAGCAAGCAUGGAGACUAAAGUCAGUCACAGGCACGACAGGGACAUGGGGCAGCUGGGCUUCUAGGGACAGUUUGUGACACGGAACCUCACUGUCCAGGUGGCGAGGGGACUUCGGUCACCCACAGGCCACCUCGAAGAUAAAAGGGCUCCGUGUCAUUUCUCACGCUAGCUCAUGGGAAUGGGUACAAGGGCUUAGCCAAAUUCAGAAGGCCACAUGAGUGAUAAAACUGAAGGCCAGUGUCUGGUCCUAGACUGCCGUCGACUUCCCCACGCACAUGUGUCACACUUACAGCCACGGCAGCGUGGUAGCUGGUUCCACAGCCAAUCACGAUGAGCCGUCGGCAUCGUCGAAUCUCCUUCAAGUGGUCCUUCAAGCCACCCAGGAGCACUGCAGGGCACACGACAAGGCGUUAAUGCUGAGUCUACACAGUCACCGCAUUCCCUGAGACUAGGCUCGGGCGGAGGCUCCCCACCGAGUGUAGGAAUUACCUGUGUUGGUUUCAAAAUUCACCCGACCUCUCAUAGUAUUGAAAACUGAUUCUGGCUGUUCGAAGAUCUCCUUCUGCAUAAACGCACUGAAGUUACCUGGUCAAAUAAACGUCUGGUCAGUUUUAAUUUCAUUAUAUUUCACUGCUUUUCAUUAUGCAGCAGCGAUAGUAACUCCUGUAAAGCUUACUGCAGAUUCCCAAAGGCAUCCCCAGGGAUUACCCUGCCUGACACUCACUACCAUCAGAGGGAAGCAGGUCAGGAACCAGGACUAUCUCCAAUUUACAUAUUGGACCCUGCAGCUUGAGAAAGGGAGGGAUUUGCCCAAGGCAUGCAAGUAACAAAUGGCCUGGCUGAUCCCUCUGGGCCAUGCUCCCUUA
Molecule: long non-coding RNA, 3417 nt
Filed under: Homo sapiens (human)
Lineage: Eukaryota; Metazoa; Chordata; Mammalia; Primates; Hominidae
Description: HSALNT0098937
Source: RNAcentral